RNAcentral lists this long non-coding RNA (8143 nucleotides) under Sus scrofa (pig). Its description in RNAcentral is "lncRNA (ENSSSCG00000057256.1)". Lineage: Eukaryota; Metazoa; Chordata; Mammalia; Artiodactyla; Suidae. The record is from RNAcentral.
GGAAGAAGUGAGCUUUGCUGUAACAUUGUAGAAAGUGAGAGAAACACCUUCAGUGAGGAAAUUCAAAAGCAUUCUGGUCACAGAUGGAGAUGUAACCCUGGGACACAGGAGGCUGUAGAAGAGCCUGCGGGGAGGAUGUUGAAGGUCCUGGGAUGGAGGAGGAGGAGGAGGAAGCAGCAGAGGCAGAGAUGCCGCCAGGAUGAGUGAGCAUGGAGGGCAGGUGCCACGGAGUGAGCCGCUGGCAUUGUUCUUUGUACAGGGACAUGAUGUGCAUUACAUAUUAUGAUGUGUUAUAUUAUCGUUAUAUGUAAUCAUGUAUUUAUAAUAGUGUUAUACUAUCAUUAUAUGUAAUCACGUAUUUAUAAUAUACUUAUGUAGUAUAAAGUUAUAUAAUUAUACCAUUAUCAAAUAAUUUAUGAAUAUAUAUUAUAUAAUAGAUGACAUAUAAUGUAUUAAAUAUACCAUAUACUAUAGUAUAUCAUAUAUACUGUAUACUAUACCAUGUACCAUAUACUAUAUAUAAAUGUGGUAAUACUAUGUUGUAUAUAAUCUAUACCAUAUUGUAUAUAAAGAAUUUAAUCCUAUACAUUAUUAGUUACACAUACUAUAAUAUAUAUCUAUGCUAUAUAUAGUAUAGAAUAUUCUAUGUAGUAACAUAGAUUAUAUAUUAAUAUUUUAUGUAAAUAUAUAAUCCAAAUCUAAAUAUAUGAAUAUAAAAUAUUUUUAAAACACAAUAUUUUAAAAAAUUAAAUGGAGAAAGACACAAAUAUUAUAUAUUUGCCUCUUCCAACAAAGAGUAGCCUUUGAAGGAUCCAAUAAAAGCUAGAACGGGUUCUGGCUCUCUAAUCAGCUAUGGAGUAUUGGGAAAAUCGUUAAGCCCCUGGGCCAGUUUUGUCAGCAAAUGGAAGAUGAGCUGACUCUCCUUAGAGGUCCUUCCCAAGCUUUCCUCCUGAGUUCAGCCCAAUACAGGCCAUGCACACCUGUGAUCAGGCCAUUGGAGAAGCUCCCUUUGGCGAGGGUCACCUCUAUCCCUUUGGUUCCUUUGGCGAAAGUCACCUCUAUCCCCACCCAAGGCCCACGAGGACCCAGCAGGCUGUGAAGACCCCCUCCCUCUGCCUGGAACCCCCAGGCCCCUCACUAAGCUCUGGCUUCUGGACCUCUUCCUGCCUUUGAUACUUGUCUUUCUAGACACCAGGGUCUUUAUCCUUGAAGUUAAGUUACUUAAGAUAUUUUAGCUCUGUCUUCUUGUAUCACUUGUUUUUCCUAGAACUUAAGACCAACAGAUAAAUUUUUUUCUUUUCCUUUUUCUGUUUUGGCUGCUCUGGGGCAUGCAGAAGUUCUGGGGCAGGGAUUGAACCCAAGCCACAGCAGAGCCAACACCAGAUCUUUAACCUGCUGAGCCACUAGGGAACUCCAAAAUUUUUUCAAUUUUUAAAGAAUCUUUAUGCAUUCUUUUAACUUUUUCCCCUUUAAUUCUUCUGUUUUUUUUUUAUUUAAGACCACCAGUUGUACACAUAUUGUUUCCCAUUGUCUCCACAUCCUUCCCCAGCUCCUGAGUCACUUAGCCACUUUGCACGGUGCAUGCACACUGUCCUGAGCAGUUCCAGGUUUGCUCAUGGUGUCCAGGACUGCAGUUCUCACCUGCUCCUCCUAUGUCUGAAGCUCCGGUUGUAGCUUCCCCUCCAGGCCCUUCUCUCCACCUGUUCCUUGCCCUUCUGUCCUUGUCCUGCAGUCUCUCCUUGGAGCCUUUAGAUCUCUUCCUUCAGCUUUUUUUCCUAAGAGCACCUGCUUGUCUUGACUUUAAUUUUGUUUAGUAAUGUUUAGUAAUGCUAUUUCUUUGAAUGAUUUCUUAUUUCCUUUUUACAAUUUUGAAAAAAAUGUAAAGACACAGGAAAAGUACAAAGAAUACUUACGAAAGGCAGCUGUGUUCCCACAACUCAAAUUUAACUAUGUACUUUCUUACAUUUGUUUUUAAUCCCUUUAAAAGAAAAAACAUAUAACAGAUACAGCUUAGGAAUCCUUUAAAUACACAACACAUAGGCCUGUCCUCACUCACCUGGUGGUAAACAGUUUGAUGUGUGUGGUUUGUCUUUUGUUUUGGCUGCACUCUCGAUGCAGAAGUUCCCAGGCUAGGGAUUGAAACUUCUUCCUGCCCAGCUGUUUAGUAUCUGGCCCCAGUCAGAGUCCUCCCCAUUGCUGUUCAUCUUUGAAGGAAGCCAGUCUGGUCCUUAAGGCUUGUGGGAGGAGGGACAGGGUAUGGGCUAUAGAGCACAACACCUACCUGGGUUUGCUGCCACCGCCUUUGGGCUCCCUCUCCCCAGCUCCUCUGGGCUGACUCUCUUAGCUAAAAGGCUGGAUCAUAGGCAAUAAAGAUAGCCCAUGGGCUGGCCUUCAGUUCAGUUCCCCCUUCUCAGGCCCAUCAGCCCCAGGGAUCCCCUAAGCCCCUUGCUCUGGGACUGAGCCAGCCACCAUGGCAGGUGAAAUAGGGGUGGGCAUCCCAGGCCAAGUGAAGUGUGAUGGGUCCACAGACUCCACCGCUUUCUCUUCCCUGUCCCUGCUCUGUACCCCAGGGGUGUAGGGCUCAGGGCACUUGGAUGGGGGGCGCAGGUAACCCUGGGCAUUCAUACUUCCUUAGCCCCCUCUUCCCUGCACCUGGCACGAGAAAGUCUCUGAUCCCAGGGCUGCAGAGCCAGGUCCACUUCCCAGGCUCCUGUACAGUGAUGUAGGGGUUAUGAGAAACUCCCAGGAGGCUGCUUUUCCACACUAUCACCUCAGGACAUUUGAACGAUUAAUAGUUUAGCAGCAGGGAGAUAUGCCACCAUGUAAGCAGUAAGUUUCCCAGUUAGAAAACAACCAAUCAGAGAAAAAAUGUUUUUAAUAGAGAAGAAGAGGUAGUGGGAAGGCUGAGUUUUCUAUUUUUCACCUGGUAGAUUAAUGAUUAUAUGUCUGCACAGCAGCAGCUAAUAAUUUCAAAUAGGAGGCAUAUGAUUAAAUCUCUCGAUGUUAUCUGCAAAUUGUUUCUCUGAGCUCUGCUUUCAAAGGGCAGCUCUCUAAUUAGAGUCAGAGAUGGUUAUUAUGGAGUUAGCCCUCACAAUCCACUGUCUCCACAGGUGAGUUAUUCUUUAAAGCACUAAUUAGGCAUACAUUCAGUUCCUUGUACCGUAUCUGACCUUCAACGUUUUGUUCUUUUCUCAUUAGAAUCAUUUCUCUCAAACUUCGCCCGCAGUAUGGAGAGACUAUUGAGCACUCUUCGCUGCUCCCUCCCAAGGAUUUCAAUCAAGUAGUCUGCCCCUUCUGCCUGCGGCACUUUGCUCAAUAAGACCUCUGAAAGUAACAGAGGGUUCGGCACUUUGCUCAAUAAGACCUCUGAAAGUAACAGAGGGUUCGCUCUUGACUUGUUAUUAUUGAAAUGGACCUUGUUCAGGGUCAAGGAUCCCUACUUUAAUCUCGAAUGGUCACCAGUGAGCAAAAUGCAUCAUACCUAAUACGUCAUCACUCCUUAAUCUUCGUUUUGCUCACUGGUGACCAUUCGAGAUCAUUUUAGAGAUGUCUUAAAUUUAGGUUCUUUUUUGAAGGGUUAAUUAAACGGCAUUAUAGGAACUGCAUUGACAUCCUUUAAAAAAAUUCCCCCCCCUCUCUUCUGAGUGAGCUCAGUUUCUGGCUGGGCUGGUGGGUGACAAUGCUGAGGCAGUGGCCUUUUCUGACAACAGAUCAGGAAAACUAAUGGCUUUCAGGGCCACUCACUGUGUGCCAGGCUGGCACAAGGACGGUACAAGUGAUCUCAGCCCAUAUCACAACCCCGAGGAGAGGGGAAGAGGAGACGGAGGCUCCGUGGUAGAGGGUCUGUCUGUGGGACAGCUGGGGCUCAGCCCCUUGGUCUGACGUGGGACCUGGCCUCUUCUCACCCCACUGAGGAAAAGAUGGGAGCUGCUGGUUGGUCCUGCAACCUGAUGACACUCAGCUUCAAGUGUCAAAUCAGUGACACUCCCACCAACAGCUAUGUCUCCUGCUGUUCAUCUUCUGUGAAUCUCUCUGUCUGCUUUUCAUUCAGUGGGUGGCUCGUGCAAGUGCAGGUUCCUAAACUGUAGCAGCUCCGAUGGGGAACAAAAGCCAACUGCACUCCCCAUGGAGAUCCUGGUCUAACUCUGAGAGGUGGACCUUAACCAGGUCACAUGGCUAAUCAAUAAACAUUCAUAACUGAGACAGUGGCUCAGGGACAAUACAGGGCUGGACUCAGAGUUUCUCCCUCAGACCUUGCAGGUCGAGAGGCUUCAGCAGGAAAUGCCUGCGUGGAGGCCGAGUGGACAGUUGGUGAGGCGAGCCUGGAGAAUCGGGGCCGUGGGGUUGAUAGGUGGUGCAAGUCGGGGACAGUCCUGCUUCAGAGGGAGGCAUCCUGCCCUCAUCCCUACUCUGGACAUCUGCCUGUUCAGAAACGUGCAGACCAGCAACGCCUCUAGGGGUGGCAGGACAGGGCUCCCAAUAUGUCCCAGUCCUAAUCCCCAAGAAUAGCAACUGUGUUAGGCUCCAUGGUAAAGAAGUCUAGGCUAUUCUGGCUGACGGUCAGUUGACCAGGAGGUGGGGGAUCAUCCAGGUGGGCCCAGUGCAACAAGGAGAGGGCAGGCCAGUAAGGCUUGGGAGGUUGUGCUGGCUUUAAAGCGGAAGGGUCCCUGAAGCCACAGAAGGUUGGCAGCAUCCAGAAGCAAGAAAAGACAAGAAAAGGAUUUUCCAUGGGAACACAGCUCUGCCAACACCUUGGUUCUAGCUUAAGAGGCCCCUUUCAGUCUCUGAGCUCCAGAACCAUAAAAUGCUAAAUUCGCAUGUUUGAAGCCAUUGAGUUUGUGCUAAUUUUUUCUUCAGCAAAAGGAAACCAAUACAUCAUUCAAUGAUUUUUUUUUUCCUUCCUGAAUAUUUCAUUUACCAUGUUGAGUUGGGUGUGAAACAACAGGUUUGUGUGAAAAUGCAGUUAAAAUUGACUUAAUUCUUUAGCCAGGGCCAAGCAUGUUUCUGAAUAAUGCCCAACUUGGUGUUUAUACCCUUCAGUUAAAAAAAGUGAUUAUUAUAGAAAUAUUGAAACUGUAUUGUAUUUCCCUUGGAUUUUGUCUUUUUUUUAAAAAAAUUUUUUUAGGGCCAUACCCGCAGCAUAUGGAGUUUCCCAGGCUAGGGGCCAGAUCAGAGCUACAGCUGCCAGCCUAUACCACAGCCACAGUAAUGCAGGAUCCGAGCAUUGCAAACUACACCACAGCUCACGGUGACGCUGGAUCCUUAACCCACUGAGCAAGGCCAGGGAUUGAACUUGCAUUCACAUGGAUACUAGUCAGAUUGGUUUCCAAUGAGCCACGACAGGAGCUCCUUCCCUUGGGUUUUGGAUAAAGAGGUGUAGGACUUAGCAUCUCUUAUUUCAUCUUUGUCCUUUUUAUUCAAGAUGAAAUAUUUUCAAAAAAUGUCACAAUGACACAGACAUGUUCAGUACUUGCUGUUUCCUGGUGGUAGGGUGGGCAGAACUCCUGGCACCUGUGUUAGUAUAAAAAAAACAGGAGACCCAGGACCAGACAGGAAGACACAGUGAAAGAUGCUGGAUUUUUGGACGAUGCCAAGUUGAAGGGUAUGUGUGGCAUAUGCUGCCAAGGGUCCCAAGACCACAGCCUGGGGGCCUGGUACCUCCAACAUGCAGUGUAUAGCCCUUGGCCUGACGACUUGUGCCCUCCUGAGCACUCCUGCCUGAACAGCCCCAGCUGGGCCAUGGUGCUGCUGUGUAAGUCACUCUCUGUGCUUGAAACAGCCUUCUGUUAUCUAGCCUAGUCACACAUGUGUGCCUUUGCUUCCAAUCAUAUUUAAAGCUGAGCCUAAUUGGAUUUAAUUCUAUUUUGCUUGAAGAUUUGUUGGGAAUCCUUUGGAGGGAUUAUUACUCCAAACAUACAUUAAGUCUGGAUUAAUAUUUAAAGGGUGGAAUGCCUACACAGCAUCUUGCAUUUGUAGCUUCUCUUCGUGCUGCAGAAGGAAGGCGGAUUAGCAGGAAAGGUUUGGUAAAGAAGUGCCUCCCUCAUUCUCUGUGCUGUAUGUGUCGGCUGUCUUGACCUGGCUCAGGGCCUAGGGUGAGCAGCUCAAAACCCAAAAGCUGCCCCUGGAGUCAGGUGAACAGAGUUCUGAAACUGCCAUAAUACCCUUCAGGUGGUCCUUUUUCUUUUUAAAAAAAUCUGCUUUUGCUUUAUUUCUGUUGCAUUUUUCUUCCCAAGGGGGCACUGCAGUGAUGACCAAAGUGGGUGGUGAGCAGCAGGCAAAUACCAUGCGAGGGGCGCUGCCCUGGACGGAUGGAGGGUCCGGCGGAUGCAGAGCGUCUCCUCUGACAAGGCUGCUCAUUCAGGGAGGGUCCCACAGCCGAUCCAGGGCCACCUGAGUUUCUUGCGGGUGGAGGUGUCCCCCGGUGCGAGCGCUCACCCCAACCCCACUCCCCCCAACAGCCUUCUUCUUUCCCACCUCGGUGCCUCCGCCACUUGCCCCCUGGAAUCUACCCGAUGACAGCUCCCGUUGCUGCUAUAGCAAAUGACCUUAAACUACAAGUUGAUUUCAGUGCUGGAGGUCGGGGUCCUAAAAUGUAUAUGUUGGCGGGGGAGGGUUCCUUCCGGCUCCUCUAGAGGAGAAUCCAUGUCACUGCUUUUUUUUCUAUCUGCAGAGGCCGCCAGCGUCCCAUCCCCAUCGUUGGUCCCAGAGGAGAGAGGAGGAGCUGGCCGGCCAGGGCGGGAGCAGGCUCAGGCUCCGGCUGUGCAGGGGCUGGACCUGCAGGCGGACAGAAGGUUGAACCUGCCUCCCUGGGUCCAAAGGCGCCGGAGCUCAGACGUACCCGCGGCCUUAACAACUGGCUCCGGUCUGGCAGAGAAGGAGCCUGGAUGCCGCCACCUCUGAGGUUUUACGAGUGAAAGGCUUUUCAUAGACGCAUCAGAGAACUGAGAUCACGGGGCAAACCGCUGCCCCCACAUGGAGACAGGCAGGUGGAUGGAGAAUCACAGUUUAGUGGAGCAGAAGUCUGUGUGGGAACUAGUCCUGGGGCAGGAAAACUUGACCUGUAACAGGGAAAUUGAUGGAGGCUUCGCGGGGACAGGUCUGGGUGAAAACUCUGGGGGCCACACUGUGUGGUUCCCCAGCUCUCAGUUCUGCUUAUGAAGUCCGCCCUCAGGGGGAACUGGUUACCCAGAGCCAGACCUGCUGGGUUUUCCCAGAGGAUGGCCAACCACAGGAGACAACUAUGCAACUUAGUCUCACCUACUGUGGGGAGAAAAAACUGAGAGGCUCUUGUAGCCGUCACAGCCCCUGUAGGAGGGCCGGUCAAAACCAGACAGUAAUCACAGGCCUCCCCACCCCAUGACCCCAUCCCCCAACACCUGGUCCCGAUCCCCCCACAUCGCUAUCCCCCAGCCCCACAUCCCCCACACCCACAUCCCCAUCUCCCACACCCCCAUUCCCCCACACUCACAUCCCCACCCUCCACCCCCACAUCCCCAUCCCCCCAUAUUCUCAUCCCCCACAAUCCUGUCUCCCACACUCACAUCCCUCCAUAUUCCCACUUUCCCACACCCACGUCUCCAUCCCCCACUUCCAGUCCCCGUUCAUCUGGCCCCAUGAGCGACAGAGGAUUCCAGUAGAAAACACUGCCUGAUUCAGACCUCGUUUAAAGAGGAUCUCCUCUCCUAUGUCACACUAAAUUAAAUUAUUCAGUUACACAUUUAACAAGUCACUGUGUGCGAGCCAUAAAAAGAACUGAAGUUCACCUUCGAAUCCGCUAUAGACAGCAUCACUGCAUCUACUCAUCAGCAAUAAGAUGUUGCUGUUUCCAUAACCACAAACGUGUUGUCCUGGGCCAUCAGGUCAGAGGUCCUGCCUCUUCAGACUCAUGCUCUUGGGGUGACUCUGCUCACCCAGUGCCAACAGGGGACUUGCAUUCAGGUUCUCUAGCCCCAGGGACUACACCAUACCUCCCGGGUUUCCCAAACCCUACCCACACCUAUGUACACCGUCCCUUUAUUAAACUCUCCUUCAACUACCUGAAUUAGAAUAUUCCAUUGUUCCCUCGGGAGAUUCUGCUACAACUGAAAAAGUGGAAAGGGCUCAGGUAUGUAACACAGACCUCUUUCCAUUCCUUUUGGCAAAA